UCUGAGAUCAGCCCUGUUUUAGGGUUCCAAGUAAACUCUGAUUUUGUUUCCACUGAUGUCUCAAUUGAUGAAAAAACAGAACUGAAGGAUAAGGUAAUAGCUAAUGAUGUCAAAGUAGAAUUAGAUGUUAAACCUGAGAUGGUGCAGCUAUUCUCGAGCAGUGAUGUCCUCUGGAAAGUCAGGUAUCUGAGAUCAGCCCUGUUUUAGGGUUCCAAGUAAACUCUGAUUUUGUUUCCACUGAUAUCUCAAUUGAUGAAAAAACAGAACUGAAGGAUAAGGUAAUAGCUAAUGAUGUCAAAGUAGAAUUAGAUGUUAAACCUGAGAUGGUUCAGCUAUUCUCGAGCAGUGAUGUCCUUGAUGAUGCAAAAUCGCAAACUAUGGAUGUUGAAGAAUCACAUGACAAGAAAAUGUCUACAGAAGAACCAGGCAAAAACGAUAAAUAUCCUGAAGUUAGUGUU
Molecule: long non-coding RNA, 458 nt
Filed under: Nicotiana benthamiana
Lineage: Eukaryota; Viridiplantae; Streptophyta; Magnoliopsida; Solanales; Solanaceae
Description: long non-coding RNA (NBEN_LNC020407)
Source: RNAcentral